Molecule: ribosomal RNA, 432 nt
Filed under: uncultured bacterium
Lineage: Bacteria
Description: partial 16S ribosomal RNA
Rfam family: Bacterial small subunit ribosomal RNA
Source: RNAcentral
ACGAACGCUGGCGGCAUGCCUAACCCAUGCACGUCGAACGAGACCUUCGGGUCUAGUGGCGCACGGGUGCGUAACGCGUGGGAACCUGCCCUUAGGUUCGGAAUAACUCCCCGAAAGGGGUGCUAAUACCGGAUAAUGUCUUCGGACCAAAGAUUUAUCGCCUUUGGAUGGGCCCGCGUUGGAUUAGCUAGUUGGUAGGGUAAAAGCCUACCAAGGCGACGAUCCAUAGCUGGUCUGAGAGGAUGAUCAGCCACACUGGGACUGAGACACGGCCCAGACUCCUACGGGAGGCAGCAGUGGGGAAUAUUGGACAAUGGGCGAAAGCCUGAUCCAGCAAUGCCGCGUGAGUGAUGAAGGCCUUAGGGUUGUAAAGCUCUUUUACCCGGGAUGAUAAUGACAGUACCGGGAGAAUAAGCUCCGGCUAACUCCGUG